AAGUGAGCAACAUGCAUCACAGGAAAAUGUAAGCAGAAGAUAGAAGUUAAAGAAAAUAAAUCAAAAGAAAAUCUUACAAUCAAAACCACCAAACAAAAACACUGAGUUUUUGAGAGGCUUUGCAAUGGACAAGACAUAGUUGAAGAAACAGUCAGUAAUCUGGAAAGUAUGUCAAUGGAAAUUUCCCGGAGGAAAACAUGAAAAGAAAAAACUACGAACUAUACGGACUAUAUGAUAAAGAGCCUGCAUGGGGCUGUGCUCAAGAACAGAGUGAACAAUCAGAGGCCAUGGGAAGCCAGAGUCUGUGAACUCAGCUCCAGUCCAUUCUUCCACACAACCAUAGCAAAGCUCUGACCCAGAGGACUGGGGUGUUCUCAGAAGGGCUGUCAUCAUGGCCAGCUGGAACUUCUUCUCCUGAAAAAUACAUUAAAUUCCAGACUACAAUGGAAGGUACUGAAAGCAAGCUGUUGACUGCUUGAUGUUGACAUGUGGUUUUUCUGGAAAAACAAAAUAAAAUCAAGAGAUGUGGGGGAAAGAUACAUUGAGGUCACUUUGGUUAAAGUUGACUAAGAUUGGCUGUGAAGAUUUUUUU
This is a long non-coding RNA of Peromyscus californicus insignis, 592 nucleotides long. RefSeq lists it as uncharacterized. Lineage: Eukaryota; Metazoa; Chordata; Mammalia; Rodentia; Cricetidae. The record is from RefSeq and is a predicted model, not a curated record. The transcript is spliced from 3 exons.